This 74-nucleotide transfer RNA is filed under the name Marmota monax (woodchuck). Its description in RNAcentral is "tRNA.Ala". It matches the Rfam family "tRNA". Rfam says of the family: Transfer RNA (tRNA) molecules are approximately 80 nucleotides in length. The record is from RNAcentral. Lineage: Eukaryota; Metazoa; Chordata; Mammalia; Rodentia; Sciuridae.
GAGAUUGUGGCUCAAUGGUAGAGCACUUGCCUAGCAUGCAUGAGGCACUAGGUUCGAUCCCCGUGUCUAUCUAU